Molecule: ribosomal RNA, 922 nt
Filed under: uncultured Pseudomonadota bacterium
Lineage: Bacteria; Pseudomonadati; Pseudomonadota
Description: bacterial SSU rRNA
Rfam family: Bacterial small subunit ribosomal RNA
Source: RNAcentral
AGAGUUUGAUCCUGGCUCAGAGCGAACGUUAGCGGCGGGCCUAACACAUGCAAGUCGGACGAGAAAAUCCUUCGGGAUGAGUACAGUGGCGCACGGGUGAGGAACGCGUAGGUAAUCUACCCUCUGGCGGGGGACAACACUCCGAAAGGAAUGCUAAUACCGCAUAAGACCACGCAUACUACGGUACGAGUGGUAAAAGGCGCCUCAAAGCGUCACCAGAGGAUGAGCCUGCGUCCCAUCAGCUAGUUGGUGAGGUAACGGCUUACCAAGGCGAAGACGGGUAGCUGGUCUGAGAGGAUGAUCAGCCACACUGGCACUGAAACACGGGCCAGACUCCUACGGGAGGCAGCAGUGAGGAAUAUUGGGCAAUGGGCGCAAGCCUGACCCAGCCACGCCGCGUGUGUGAUGAAGGCCUUCGGGUCGUAAAGCACUGUGGAGAGGGACGAAAACAUGCAGGAGGAAAUGCCUGCGUCUUGACGGUACCUCUUUAGCAAGCACCGGCUAACUCUGUGCCAGCAGCCGCGGUAAUACAGAGGGUGCAAACGUUGCUCGGAUUUACUGGGCGUAAAGCGCGUGUAGGCGGAUACGCAAGUCGGUUGUGAAAUCCCUGGGCUCAACCUAGGAACUGCAUCCGAAACUGUGUGUCUUGAGUAAUGGAGAGGGUGGCGGAAUUCCCGGUGUAGAGGUGAAAUUCGUAGAUAUCGGGAGGAACAUCUGUGGCGAAGGCGGCCACCUGGACAUUUACUGACGCUGAGACGCGAAAGCGUGGGGAGCAAACAGGAUUAGAUACCCUGGUAGUCCACGCCGUAAACGAUGAGAACUAUGUGCAGCGGAUAUUGACCUCUGCUGUGCCGUAGCUAACGCGUUAAGUUCUCCGCCUGGGGAGUACGGCCCGCAAGGCUAAACUCAAAGGAAUUGACGG